Molecule: ribosomal RNA, 253 nt
Filed under: uncultured bacterium
Lineage: Bacteria
Description: partial 16S ribosomal RNA
Rfam family: Bacterial small subunit ribosomal RNA
Source: RNAcentral
UACGGGGGGUGCAAGCGUUGUUCGGAAUUACUGGGCGUAAAGGGCUCGUAGGCGGCCAACUAAGUCGGAUGUGAAAUCCCCAGGCUCAACCUGGGAACUGCAUCCGAUACUGGAUGGCUUGAAUCCGGGAGAGGGAUGCAGAAUUCCAGGUGUAGCGGUGAAAUGCGUAGAUAUCUGGAGGAACACCGGUGGCGAAGGCGGCAUCCUGGACCGGUAUUGACACUGAGGCGCGAAAGCCAGGGGAGCAAACGGG